UCUUUUAGUUAAAAAUUUAAAGUCCAAUCUGCUCACUGAAAUUUUUUAAAGAGCCGCAGUAUUUUGACUGUGCAAAGGUAGCAUAAUCAAUAGUUUCUUAAUUGGAAACUAGAAUGAAAGAUUAGACAAGAAAAUGAUUUUCUUUAUUUUAAUAAAUUUAAUUUAAAAUUUGAGUGAAAAUUCUCAAGUAAAUUAAAAAGACGAGAAGACCCUAUAGAUUUUUAUUAAUUAAGAUUUAUUUUAUAAAAUAUAAAUUUAAGUUAAUUUAAUUGGGGUGAUGUUGUAAUACAAAAAACUUAAUUUUAAGUAACCAAGAAUAAAUGAAUUUUUAGAUUUUAAAUUUUGAAAGAAAAGAUUAAAUUACCUUAGGGAUAACAGCGUAAUUUUAUUUACGAGUUCAUAUCUAUAAUAAAGUUUGCGACCUCGAUGUUGAAUUAAGAUAAAAUAUUGGAGUAGAAGUUAAUAUUAUUAGUCUGUUCGACUAUUAAAUGC
Molecule: ribosomal RNA, 492 nt
Filed under: Bryopsocus sp. KY470
Lineage: Eukaryota; Metazoa; Arthropoda; Insecta; Psocodea; Bryopsocidae
Description: partial 16S ribosomal RNA
Source: RNAcentral